Molecule: ribosomal RNA, 439 nt
Filed under: uncultured bacterium
Lineage: Bacteria
Description: partial 16S ribosomal RNA
Rfam family: Bacterial small subunit ribosomal RNA
Source: RNAcentral
CUACGGGGGGCAGCAGUGAGGAAUAUUGCACAAUGGGGGGAACCCUGAUGCAGCAACGCCGCGUGGAGGAUGACGCAUUUCGGUGUGUAAACUCCUUUUAUAUGUCAAGAAAAUGACGGUAGCAUAUGAAAUAGCACCGGCUAACUCCGUGCCAGCAGCCGCGGUAAUACGGAGGGUGCAAGCGUUACUCGGAAUCACUGGGCGUAAAGGACGCGUAGGCGGGUUGGAAAGCCAGGUGUGAAAUCCUACAGCUUAACUGUAGAACUGCACUUGAAACUUCUAAUCUAGAGUAUGGGAGGGGGAGAUGGAAUUAGUGGUGUAGGGGUAAAAUCCGUAGAUAUCACUAGGAAUACCUAAAGCGAAGGCGAUCUCCUGGAACAUUUCUGACGCUAAGGCGUGAAAGCGUGGGGAGCAAACAGGAUUAGAUACCCCCGUAGUC